Long non-coding RNA from Nymphalis io (European peacock), 597 nucleotides. RefSeq lists it as uncharacterized. The record is from RefSeq and is a predicted model, not a curated record. The transcript has 2 exons. NCBI's taxonomy places the organism in Eukaryota, Metazoa, Arthropoda, Insecta, Lepidoptera, Nymphalidae.
UACCGUGCUAAUAUACAAUGAUUCGCAUUUUUAUUUUUAAAUUAAAACAGUAACUAAAAAAAUAUAACAUUAUUAUGAGUUUUAUGUUAGUCUGUAUUUUACUCAUGGCUAUACCGUCCGACUUCCGAAUUCGGAUUGAAUUUUGACUUUUGACAAUUAUUGACACACCGAAGGGCGAAGUUAGAAAUAAACUUCAUUAUCUACUAAAAAUAAAAUAUAGGUUAUUUUGCAACAACAAAAUAAAAUAUUUAAAUAGUCGCUCAUUGCUAUUCAAAUAUGUUUCGAUUACCGUUUGGCGAAAGAGUUGAUCCGUUAGAGGAAAAACGUCAAGCAAGAGAAAAUACUAUUAACAGCUUUCUUACAUUUUGUGCACUUUGUGCUGCUAUUAGAAUUGCUCCAGUAAUCAUCGAGCACAGUGGAUUUUAACUUUAAUAAAUGUAUUGAAGUAGUUCUAAUAAAGUCAUGCUACUGUUUCAUAGUUGAAUCUGAUUAGUAGAUGUGCACAAAUCAUAGAAUUUAGUUCCUUUUUAAAGCCUCUGUUUAACGGUAACAGUAAUAAGCAUAAAAUGAGUUUAUAAAUACAUUAUUUCAACAGUA